RNAcentral lists this ribosomal RNA (2351 nucleotides) under Salmonella enterica subsp. enterica serovar Enteritidis str. CDC_2010K_1445. Its description in RNAcentral is "bacterial LSU rRNA". It matches the Rfam family "Bacterial large subunit ribosomal RNA", at positions 594 to 2925 of the family's 2925-position model. The record is from RNAcentral. Lineage: Bacteria; Pseudomonadati; Pseudomonadota; Gammaproteobacteria; Enterobacterales; Enterobacteriaceae.
UGACUGCGUACCUUUUGUAUAAUGGGUCAGCGACUUAUAUUCUGUAGCAAGGUUAACCGAAUAGGGGAGCCGGAGGGAAACCGAGUCUUAACCGGGCGUUAAGUUGCAGGGUAUAGACCCGAAACCCGGUGAUCUAGCCAUGGGCAGGUUGAAGGUUGGGUAACACUAACUGGAGGACCGAACCGACUAAUGUUGAAAAAUUAGCGGAUGACCUGUGGCUGGGGGUGAAAGGCCAAUCAAACCGGGAGAUAGCUGGUUCUCCCCGAAAGCUAUUUAGGUAGCGCCUCGUGAAUUCAUCUCCGGGGGUAGAGCACUGUUUCGGCUAGGGGGCCAUCCCGGCUUACCAACCCGAUGCAAACUGCGAAUACCGGAGAAUGUUAUCACGGGAGACACACGGCGGGUGCUAACGUCCGUCGUGAAGAGGGAAACAACCCAGACCGCCAGCUAAGGUCCCAAAGUCAUGGUUAAGUGGGAAACGAUGUGGGAAGGCCCAGACAGCCAGGAUGUUGGCUUAGAAGCAGCCAUCAUUUAAAGAAAGCGUAAUAGCUCACUGGUCGAGUCGGCCUGCGCGGAAGAUGUAACGGGGCUAAACCAUGCACCGAAGCUGCGGCAGCGACACUGUGUGUUGUUGGGUAGGGGAGCGUUCUGUAAGCCUGUGAAGGUGUGUCGUGAGGCAUGCUGGAGGUAUCAGAAGUGCGAAUGCUGACAUAAGUAACGAUAAAGCGGGUGAAAAGCCCGCUCGCCGGAAGACCAAGGGUUCCUGUCCAACGUUAAUCGGGGCAGGGUGAGUCGACCCCUAAGGCGAGGCCGAAAGGCGUAGUCGAUGGGAAACGGGUUAAUAUUCCCGUACUUGGUGUUACUGCGAAGGGGGGACGGAGAAGGCUAUGUUGGCCGGGCGACGGUUGUCCCGGUUUAAGCGUGUAGGUGUGUGUUCCAGGUAAAUCCGGUUCACUUUAACACUGAGGCGUGACGACGAGGCACUACGGUGCUGAAGCAACAAAUGCCCUGCUUCCAGGAAAAGCCUCUAAGCAUCAGGUAACAUCAAAUCGUACCCCAAACCGACACAGGUGGUCAGGUAGAGAAUACCAAGGCGCUUGAGAGAACUCGGGUGAAGGAACUAGGCAAAAUGGUGCCGUAACUUCGGGAGAAGGCACGCUGACACGUAGGUGAAGUGAUUUACUCAUGGAGCUGAAGUCAGUCGAAGAUACCAGCUGGCUGCAACUGUUUAUUAAAAACACAGCACUGUGCAAACACGAAAGUGGACGUAUACGGUGUGACGCCUGCCCGGUGCCGGAAGGUUAAUUGAUGGGGUCAGCGCAAGCGAAGCUCCUGAUCGAAGCCCCGGUAAACGGCGGCCGUAACUAUAACGGUCCUAAGGUAGCGAAAUUCCUUGUCGGGUAAGUUCCGACCUGCACGAAUGGCGUAAUGAUGGCCAGGCUGUCUCCACCCGAGACUCAGUGAAAUUGAACUCGCUGUGAAGAUGCAGUGUACCCGCGGCAAGACGGAAAGACCCCGUGAACCUUUACUAUAGCUUGACACUGAACAUUGAGCCUUGAUGUGUAGGAUAGGUGGGAGGCUUUGAAGUGUGGACGCCAGUCUGCAUGGAGCCGACCUUGAAAUACCACCCUUUAAUGUUUGAUGUUCUAACGUGGACCCGUUACCCGGGUUGCGGACAGUGUCUGGUGGGUAGUUUGACUGGGGCGGUCUCCUCCUAAAGAGUAACGGAGGAGCACGAAGGUUGGCUAAUCCUGGUCGGACAUCAGGAGGUUAGUGCAAUGGCAUAAGCCAGCUUGACUGCGAGCGUGACGGCGCGAGCAGGUGCGAAAGCAGGUCAUAGUGAUCCGGUGGUUCUGAAUGGAAGGGCCAUCGCUCAACGGAUAAAAGGUACUCCGGGGAUAACAGGCUGAUACCGCCCAAGAGUUCAUAUCGACGGCGGUGUUUGGCACCUCGAUGUCGGCUCAUCACAUCCUGGGGCUGAAGUAGGUCCCAAGGGUAUGGCUGUUCGCCAUUUAAAGUGGUACGCGAGCUGGGUUUAGAACGUCGUGAGACAGUUCGGUCCCUAUCUGCCGUGGGCGCUGGAGAACUGAGGGGGGCUGCUCCUAGUACGAGAGGACCGGAGUGGACGCAUCACUGGUGUUCGGGUUGUCAUGCCAAUGGCACUGCCCGGUAGCUAAAUGCGGAAGAGAUAAGUGCUGAAAGCAUCUAAGCACGAAACUUGCCCCGAGAUGAGUUCUCCCUGAGACUUAGGUCUCCUGAAGGAACGUUGAAGACGACGACGUUGAUAGGCCGGGUGUGUAAGCGCAGCGAUGCGUUGAGCUAACCGGUACUAAUGAACCGUGAGGCUUAACCUU